GAUGAACGCUUGCGGCAGGCUUAACACAUGCAAGUCGAGGGGUUUUAUGGAGCUUGCUCUAUAGAACGGCCGGCGCACGGGUGCGUAACACGUAUGCAACCUACCUUCUACUGACGGAUAGCCCGGAGAAAUCUGAAUUAAUACGUCAUGGUUUCAUUGAAUCGCAUGGUUUAAUGAAUAAAGAAAUUCGGUAGAAGAUGGGCAUGCGUCCCAUUAGAUAGUUGGCGGGGUAACGGCCCACCAAGUCGAUGAUGGGUAGGGGGCCUGAGAGGGUAGUCCCCCACACUGGUACUGAGACACGGACCAGACUCCUACGGGAGGCAGCAGUGAGGAAUAUUGGUCAAUGGACGCAAGUCUGAACCAGCCAUGCCGCGUGCAGGAAGAAUGUCCUAUGGAUUGUAAACUGCUUUUUUACGGGAAUAAAUGUAUUUACGCGUAGAUACUUGAAGGUACUGUAAGAAUAAGGAUCGGCUAACUCCGUGCCAGCAGCCGCGGUAAUACGGAGGAUCCGAGCGUUAUCCGGAUUUAUUGGGUUUAAAGGGUGCGUAGGCGGCACAUUAAGUCAGUGGUGAAAUACUCAUGCUUAACAUGGGAACUGCCAUUGAUACUGAUGCGCUUGAGUACAGAUGAAGUGGGCGGAAUAUGACAUGUAGCGGUGAAAUGCGUAGAUAUGUCAUAGAACACCGAUCGCGAAGGCAGCUCACUAAGCUGAUACUGACGCUGAUGCACGAAAGCGUGGGGAUCAAACAGGAUUAGAUACCCUGGUAGUCCACGCUGUAAACGAUGAUAACUGGCUGUCGGCGAUAUAGUGCCGGUGGCUGAGCGAAAGUAUUAAGUUAUCCACCUGGGGAGUACGAUCGCAAGGUUGAAACUCAAAGGAAUUGACGGGGGCCCGCACAAGCGGUGGAGCAUGUGGUUUAAUUCGAUGAUACGCGAGGAACCUUACCUGGGCUGGAACUGUCACUGCAAUUAUGGGAAACCAUAAGUUCCUUCGGGACGGUGACGGAGGUGCUGCAUGGUUGUCGUCAGCUCGUGCCGUGAGGUGUCGGAUUAAGUUCCAUAACGAGCGCAACCCUUACUGUCAGUUGCUAACAGGUUAAGCUGAGGACUCUGGCAGAACUGCCGGCGCAAGCCGAGAGGAAGGUGGGGAUGACGUCAAAUCAGCACGGCCCUUAUGUCCAGGGCUACACACGUGCUACAAUGGUCAAUACAGAGGGCAGCUACUAUGCGAAUAGGUGCGAAUCUCGAAAGUUGAUCUCAGUUCGGAUCGGAGUCUGUAACUCGACUCCGUGAAGCUGGAAUCGCUAGUAAUCGCGCAUCAGCCAUGGCGCGGUGAAUACGUUCCCGGGC
This 1350-nucleotide ribosomal RNA is filed under the name uncultured Bacteroidales bacterium. RNAcentral describes it as "bacterial SSU rRNA". It matches the Rfam family "Bacterial small subunit ribosomal RNA", at positions 28 to 1379 of the family's 1533-position model. The record is from RNAcentral. Lineage: Bacteria; Pseudomonadati; Bacteroidota; Bacteroidia; Bacteroidales.